Molecule: unclassified non-coding RNA, 4248 nt
Filed under: Hevea brasiliensis (rubber tree)
Lineage: Eukaryota; Viridiplantae; Streptophyta; Magnoliopsida; Malpighiales; Euphorbiaceae
Source: RNAcentral
GAAGUUGUAACAAUCUGAAUUGCUAAAGAUUUUAUCUUGCAUCAAAUAUGGAGAACAUAUUUCAUUGAUCCAAAAAAGGAUAAAUUUUAGCUUAAGAGAAGUUUACUAUCUAAAAGAGUAAGAAAAUGCAUUUCCUACUUUAAAAAUUCCAGAAACAACUACUACAAAGAGCACAAGAACCUCCAAUUUCAAUAAAUACAUACAAUGAAGGAAACUUCCAAGUUUUGCAAUUGGAAGCACAAGUAAAUAUUAAUGGUAAGACAACUUCCUCUUUCUGAUGCCCAUUUGGCUGCAUAUUUUCUAAUCCAGUCCCCAUAGGAUCACAACAAAAAGCAUGUUUUUGCCAUAGGCUCAAUCAACUGCUCAUCACUGGACAGCUCCUGAUACAUUUCUUCCGAAAAAAGGAUGAUUUUGCAACAUAUCACAAUUUUCGUACAAUGACACGCCGCUCAUGCUUGUAUUCAAUCUCAUCCCUUUGAUGCAUAAUUAUAAGAGCUCUUCUCACAAUUGAUUCAUUCAUUCCCAUUCUAGCAAGUUCAUCAAUCAGCUUUCUUUCUGAUAUGCGCAUGCCAAUUCCAAUUCUUCUCUUUAUCUGAGUUUCUGCUUGCUUUAUCUCAGGAGUAAGAGUCACUUGUUGAUUUAUGCCAGACUGUGCUGCUUCAAUAGUUGAAACCUUAAAAAGAUUUACUGCUUCAACCACAUCUGCCUCAGUAGCAACAUGGGACAGUUUCAUUUUAGCGAUAGCCUCACUCAACCUUAUGAUAGCUUCAAGCUGCCUUACAGUAAUGGGUACUGCAGCAGCUUCUCCAGUUUCAUUUGCCUGCUUCCUCAUGUCCUGUCUGAAUCUGACAUACUCAUUUUGCAGUCUACUGGAUGCAGACUCUGUGAGACGGGGAUGACAUUCAGUUCGACAAUAUUGUAUAUAUCUCUUUAGCCAAUUCUCUUCCUUAGAAACUCUACUAUCAGCUGAAGUUGUAUCAGCAGAUGCAUGAACCUUUAUUAUAUGGCUAGCUAUGAUCUUAUCACGGCUGUAAUCUCUUUUAUCCUUCACAAUAAAGAUUAAGUCAAAUCGAGAAAGAAUUGUUGUCUGUAAAUCAAUAUUUUCCUGAGCAGUCUUAAGAUCAUCAUAACGUCCUGAUGGCGGGUUGGCAGCUGCAAGCACAGAUGUCCUAGAGUUGAUGAACAUUGGGUUGAUGAAUCGUGCUAUUGGUGCUACAGCCUUGAAUGAAAGAAGUAGUAGAUCACACAGUGUUCUCACUGUUCAUGUUAAUGGCGUGGAUUUGGAGACUGGUGCUCUUUUGCGUGGUAAUUUGCAUUUAAUAGAUCUUGCUGGGAGUGAAAGGGUGGACCGAUCUGAAGCAACUGGAGACAGGUUAAGGGAGGCACAACACAUAAAUAAAUCCCUUUCUGCGCUUGGGGAUGUGAUAUUUGCUUUAGCUCAAAAAAAUUCACAUGUGCCUUACAGAAAUAGUAAAUUGACUCAAGUAUUGCAAAGCUCUUUAGGUGGUCAAGCAAAGACCCUCAUGUUUGUCCAGCUUAAUCCUGAUGUAGAUUCCUAUUCCGAAACUAUAAGUACCCUAAAGUUUGCUGAGAGAGUAUCUGGCAUUGAGUUGGGCGCUGCAAGGAUUAAUAAAGAAGGAAGGGAUGUUAGAGAACUUAUUCAGCAGGUGACAUCCCUCAAGGACACUAUUGCAGAGAAGGAUGAAGAGAUUGAGCAGUUGCAGCUGCUUAAGUCUAAUGUCAAUGGCAUGAAGCAUGGUGUGAACUCCCAUAGAAGUGAAUCUUCUUCUCCUGGAAGACGUUCAACUGAGAGUCCACGUCAAGGCCCUGGGAAAAGUGGAGAGAAAAGCUUAGGAGCUCAUGAUAAAGUGGCAUCUGACAUGGAUAAUAGUUCAGAGUACAGUGAGAAACGUUCUGAAGCUGGUUCUCUACAUUCAAGGGCUGACUUCAGGCAUCAAAAGGCAUCUCUCCCACAGUCAAAGUCAAUGGGUGACUUAAGACUUCAAAAGAAAUUUCUCCCUCAGUCAAAGCUUAGAAAAGAUAUAGGCCAGAAUUCUAAAGAAGAUAUUGACCUCUUGGGGUUUGGAGAUGCUGAUUCUGAUGAGAGAUUAAGUGACAUAUCUGAUGGCGGUCUUUCAAUGGGAACUGAAACGGAAUCAGUUGAGUUCACUCUUUUUCCUGAGCCUGCAAAAUCACUUGGAGCUACAAGACCAGCUGAAGCUGCUGAACCUGCAAAAUCACCUGAAAUUGAAAGACCAGAAGUGGCAAAACCAACUGAAAAAGCAGAGAACACCGAGAAACCCAGUUUUACAUCUAGGUUGCCGAGGCCUCCACAGAAGUUGAUGCAAACAAGAAAGUCACGCUUGUCAUUGACUAAGAGUUCCACUCCAAGGGCUUCAUCAGCUGACGAUCAGAACCGCCCAUGAAUUGCGAAGCUAAACUUUCGGUACGCCAGGCCACACUGGAACUUUCAAGGCUGUUUCCACCCUGGCGCACGUUAGCGAGUAGCCGUUUCCGGCUUAUCAAUCUGCGCAGCGGAAGUAGCGGAAAUAAAACGUGCUUUGAACUUGAGUUAAGGACACUAUACAUAAACCCAAACAAUAAUCCCUGAUUUUCCUACCAGAAGUUUUCUCGAGAAAAUGAACCAGAAAGCUCUACAGACGCUGCUUCCUGCUAGAGGACCAUUCAAUUCAUCCAGGCCUGUUGUACUGUUAAGCAGCCUUUUGUGUCUCAAUUAUAUAGAAGGGUUGGAUCUGCACGUGUGUGAGCCUAUCUAUAUUAGAUAGCAACGAAAACAAUUUAAUUGUUGUUUUUUAAUCAAGAUAAUGUACUCUCUGCCUUUGCAAAGAAAUGUUGAAUGAUGUAAGAUGUCUGGGUGCAAAAGGCCUCCUCAAAGUGAUCAAUCUUCAAUUACAUACAGGUGGAACCAAGUUGAGUGGUCAUCUUUUGACCUUACUGAUGUUGUCCCUGAGCAAAAUGCUUCUACACACUCCGAGGAAGAAGAAGCAAAGUAGCAUAAAUACUAAACUGAAGCAGCCUAAGAUACUGAGCACAGCAGAGCUCAUCUCAGCAGUGGGGCAGAUAUGGAGUAUUGUAAAUCCUCUUGCUAUUACUGAAUCAGGGGCAAAACCAAAUCGUAAUGGUAGUGGCUCUCAGAAAAGUGUUAUCUUGGGUGAUCUGGUUGGGGAAGAUGGUGGGGCAGCUUUAAAAGAUGAUGAUGAAAGAUACUUUAGUGUUUAUGCAAGGACUGCUAGUAAUAUUACACCUUCACUGCAGCCAAGGUUUGAGUUUCUUACAGUAACUCAGAAGUUGUUGGCGUUUGAACCUUGUAGGCGGAAUUGUACUCAUUCAUUAUUCUCACAGUUUUCGAAGGGAAGUACCACAUUAUCAAAUGAGUAUUGGAUAGGAAAGGGGCUAGCGAAUGUAGGAAAUUCAUAUGAAUUGGAAAGGAUAUAUGGAUGGAUGAAAGAAAUAAUUCCUGCUGAAUCACAGUAUCCUGUCAAUGUCACUAAGAUUGAGGAAAGAAUCUCAAUAAAAUCUGCACUUCAGGAAGUACAGUCAGCCAUGCUUGUGGCUGCAUUUCUAGAGAUGCAACUCAUACUGGAAAUAACUUUGCUUUAAGAAGAGCUGACUGCUACUCUGAUUCAAUCAAAUCAAAAGAUACAUUAGCAGGUGAUAAUAUGGAAGUAGCAAAGAAGACAGGAACAAUCAGCUAUCUCUGCUCUGAUUAUUUCAUUGGGACUCUUCAUGAUAACAAUGUACAUUGUAGUGUUUCAAGGGCACCAAGUUCUGCUCUUUAUGUAGAUUAUCAUAUCUACUUUUUAGCUACACAGAAGAGUACAUAUGGAAAAUUCAAACAUCACACUGAUGACAAUCAAAUGGCUGAGACAAGAAAACAACCUCAAAAGUUUGUUGUUGAGGACAAAAAUGUAAUGGAGGUUUCUACAUCAGCAUAUGCAAGACCGCAUUAUGCCCUUGCUAAGCAAGAGCAUGCUUAUGCAGGUGCAUUUUCUGGUAUAUUCGUUAGCCUUUGUCUACAUCCUGUUGACACAAUAAAGACAGUUACUCAAUCUUGCCGUAGAGAGCAGAAGUCUAUCUGUGACAUUGGAAGGUCAACUGUUUCUGAAAGAGGUGUAACUGGGCUUUAUCGUGGAAUUGCUAGCAAUAUUGCAUCUUCAGCUCCAAUAUCUGCCAUUUACACUUUCACGUAUGAAUCAGUUAAAGGAUCUUUGCUUCCUUUAUUCUCCA